UACAGAGGUCCCAAGCGUUGUUCGGAUUCACUGGGCGUAAAGGGUGCGUAGGUGGCGGGGUAAGUCGGAUGUGAAAUCUCCGAGCUCAACUCGGAAAUGGCAUUGGAAACUACCUUGCUCGAGGGUUGGAGGGGGGACUGGAAUACUUGGUGUAGCAGUGAAAUGCGUAGAUAUCAAGUGGAACACCAGUGGCGAAGGCGAGUCUCUGGACAACUCCUGACACUGAGGCACGAAAGCUAGGGGAGCAAACAGG
RNAcentral lists this ribosomal RNA (253 nucleotides) under uncultured bacterium. Its description in RNAcentral is "partial 16S ribosomal RNA". It matches the Rfam family "Bacterial small subunit ribosomal RNA", at positions 524 to 776 of the family's 1533-position model. The record is from RNAcentral.